UCAGAGGUAGCCCAUUCCAUUC
Molecule: non-coding RNA, 22 nt
Filed under: Arabidopsis thaliana (thale cress)
Lineage: Eukaryota; Viridiplantae; Streptophyta; Magnoliopsida; Brassicales; Brassicaceae
Source: RNAcentral